This 745-nucleotide ribosomal RNA is filed under the name uncultured bacterium. Its description in RNAcentral is "bacterial SSU rRNA". It matches the Rfam family "Bacterial small subunit ribosomal RNA", at positions 33 to 773 of the family's 1533-position model. The record is from RNAcentral.
ACGCUGGCGGCAGGCCUAACACAUGCAAGUCGAGCGGUAGAGAGAAGCUUGCUUCUCUUGAGAGCGGCGGACGGGUGAGUAAUGCCUAGGAAUCUGCCUGGUAGUGGGGGAUAACGUUCGGAAACGGACGCUAAUACCGCAUACGUCCUACGGGAGAAAGCAGGGGACCUUCGGGCCUUGCGCUAUCAGAUGAGCCUAGGUCGGAUUAGCUAGUUGGUGGGGUAAUGGCUCACCAAGGCGACGAUCCGUAACUGGUCUGAGAGGAUGAUCAGUCACACUGGAACUGAGACACGGUCCAGACUCCUACGGGAGGCAGCAGUGGGGAAUAUUGGACAAUGGGCGAAAGCCUGAUCCAGCCAUGCCGCGUGUGUGAAGAAGGUCUUCGGAUUGUAAAGCACUUUAAGUUGGGAGGAAGGGCAGUAAAUUAAUACUUUGCUGUUUUGACGUUACCGACAGAAUAAGCACCGGCUAACUCUGUGCCAGCAGCCGCGGUAAUACAGAGGGUGCAAGCGUUAACCGGAAUUACUGGGCGUAAAGCGCGCGUAGGUGGUUCGUUAAGUUGGAUGUGAAAUCCCCGGGCUCAACCUGGGAACUGCAUUCAAAACUGACGAGCUAGAGUAUGGCAGAGGGUGGUGGAAUUUCCUGUGUAGCGGUGAAAUGCGUAGAUAUAGGAAGGAACACCAGUGGCGAAGGCGACCACCUGGACUGAUACUGACACUGAGGUGCGAAAGCGUGGGGAGCAAAC